Scleropages formosus (Asian bonytongue) is the source of this 2324-nucleotide long non-coding RNA. The record is from Ensembl. Lineage: Eukaryota; Metazoa; Chordata; Actinopteri; Osteoglossiformes; Osteoglossidae.
AUGUGUCUAUUUAUAAUGUAUAUUUUACACCAUGCAAUUUUCAAUUCUAUAACGGUGUCUUCAGUAAAAGCAAAGAUGCUGGAAGGCACUUCUGGAUUUCCUCCUUCAAAAACCGCAUGUUCUUACUGUGUUCUACAGCAAAGUGCCGCCGAGGCUGUUUCCAUUGCAACACCAUUCUGUAAAGAGAAGCGCCGCAGGUUUUGUGUUACCCGCAGAGACUUAAGUGCGACGUUGAGAGGCGCGUUCACGCAACAUGGUAACACGUGUCCCAGGAAAACCUUGCCCCCUGUCUGAACUACUCCACAACAUCUUGAUGAAGUUUGAAGGCACCUGGCAUUGAUGGUAUUCCCAUCUAAUGACUGCAGGAGUCAGACGCAGCUGGUUAAAUACUAAAAAAACUCUGUUAAGAAAUCUGGAAUAUAAUGCAGUGGCCAACACAUUGGAAAAGAUCUGUGUUCAUACCAAUAUUAAAGAGGGAUGGGAAUUAUCGCACGAUUGCCUUGAUCCCACAGGCCAGCAAAAUAUUCCUCAAGAUUCGUCAGUGGAGAUUGCAACCGUACUUGGAGCAAGAACUGCCUAUAGAGUAAGCAGGAUUCAGGAAAGGGCGAGGGACAAGGGAUAUCAUCACAAAUAUGAGAUGGAUUCUUGAAAAGGCUAAAGAACAUCAAAAGGAUAUCUACAUGUGCUUCAUCGACUACAGCAAGGCGUUUGAUUGUGUGAAUCAUCAAUACCUCUGGACCUUGCUACGAAGCAUGGGUAUACCAGAACACUUGGUUGUUCUCAUGCGCAACCUUUACAACGACCAAGAAGCAACAGUUUGAACAAGACAAGGGGAAACAGAAUCGUUCAAAAUUGGUAGGGGCGUAAGACAAGGCUGCAUACUCUCUACGUAUCUGUUCAAUUUACAGUAUAUGCGGAAAAGAUCAUCAGGGAAGCAGGGCUCUAUGAAAAGAAACUGGGCGUGAAAAUCAGCAGAAUCUUCGCUAUGCUGAUGAUAUGACCAUACUAGCUGAAAGUGAGGAUGAUUUGACACAUCUGCUCACCAAGAUCAAAGAACAUCGUUUGACAAUGGACUUGCAUCUCAACGUGAAGAAGACGAAGUUCUUCACUGCUAGCAAACUGGAAAACUUCACACUUGAUGGAGAAGACAUAGAAAUAGUACAUAACUUCAGUCUACUCGGAUUAAUAAUCUAUAAAGAAGUGACAAGCAACCAAGAAAUCCGACAACGAUUUGCUGUGGGAAAAACCGCCAUGAAGAGCUUGGACAAAAUUCUCAAGUGGAUGUGACUCUGUACACAAAAGUUCAACUAGUUCAAGCCAUGGUCUUCUCUGUCACGUCAUGCGAAUGCAAGAAUUGGACAGUGAAGAAGAUGGACAGGAAGAAAAUUGAGGCCUUCGAACUAUGGUACUGGCAAAGAAUCCUGCAUUUACCCUGGAUGGCCCAGAAAACAAAUGUGUGGGUUUGCAGCAGAUAAACGAAAGACGUCAUUGGAAGCUCAGACGACAUGGCUUUGACUCUCUUACUUCGGACACAUUGUGUGGAUAGAACAGUCAAUGGAAAAGGAUGUCACGCUGGGCAAAGUGGAAGGUCAAUGUAGAGCUACGUGGUAGAUCGACACAAUCACCACAUCCAUGGAUGCCCCACUUUCGAGUCUUAGCUGGUUGGCGGAAGACUGGAUGCUUUUCAGGACAACUAUCCACAGAGUUGCCAUGAGUUAACUUCGACUCAACGACACCUAACAACAACGUGAUUAGAGGAAAGGGGAGGUGGAGAUGGGGUGUUAUCCAAUCUGUGUGUGUGUUUGUGUGUGUGUGAGGGGUGUAAAAUGGAUCCAUAAUGAAGCUGAAGGGUCAUGCCCAAGAGGGGCUGACCCAUUAUUUUUUUUAGUCAGUACUAAUUUUAAAAUUGAGGCAUCUAACAGCUGAUAUUAAGUAAAUGAUGGACAUGUCACAAAUUUGCCACACACCCCCUCACAUUCAAAGCAUGAAUUAUGAAACAAACUCAUGUGUCAUUGUAGCACGUAGAGGCUGCCCAGGGAGGGGGCGGAGACGGAAUUAAAGCAGCCACAGCUGGGGCUGAUUUCAUCCCCGAUUUCAUCCCCUAUUUCUUCCCCGGUGCCCGGCAGUAGAGAGAAGAGACCAAGGAGGAGAACCAGACCGAGACGACCGCCGACCCGAUCCCUGACACGAAGCCCUCGUCCCGAUCGACCCUACUCUCCCAGCCUGCACGAAACCCUUCCCUACCUGUUCCCUGCUUCCCCUUUCCCAUCUCCGUCCUUCUCCGCUGUCUAGCAAAUAAAAGCCCACAGCUACGGGCGACUGCA